Molecule: ribosomal RNA, 253 nt
Filed under: uncultured bacterium
Lineage: Bacteria
Description: partial 16S ribosomal RNA
Rfam family: Bacterial small subunit ribosomal RNA
Source: RNAcentral
UACGAAGGGGGCUAGCGUUGCUCGGAUUGACUGGGCGUAAAGGGCGCGUAGGCGGUUUGCACAGUCAGACGUGAAAUUCCUGGGCUCAACCUGGGGGCUGCGUUUGAUACGUGUAGACUUGAGUGCGGAAGAGGGUCGUGGAAUUCCCAGUGUAGAGGUGAAAUUCGUAGAUAUUGGGAAGAACACCGGUGGCGAAGGCGGCGACCUGGUCCGAUACUGACGCUGAGGCACGAAAGCGUGGGGAGCAAACAGG